UGGGGAAUAUUGCACAAUGGGCGAAAGCCUGAUGCAGCGACGCCGCGUGAGGGAUGACGGCCUUCGGGUUGUAAACCUCUUUCAGCAGGGAAGAAGCGAAAGUGACGGUACCUGCAGAAGAAGCACCGGCUAACUACGUGCCAGCAGCCGCGGUAAUACGUAGGGUGCGAGCGUUGUCCGGAAUUAUUGGGCGUAAAGAGCUUGUAGGCGGUCUGUCGCGUCUGCUGUGAAAAUCCGGGGCUCAACCCCGGACUUGCAGUGGGUACGGGCAGACUAGAGUGUGGUAGGGGAGACUGGAAUUCCUGGUGUAGCGGUGAAAUGCGCAGAUAUCAGGAGGAACACCGAUGGCGAAGGCAGGUCUCUGGGCCACUACUGACGCUGAGAAGCGAAGGCAUGGGGAGCGAACAGG
Molecule: ribosomal RNA, 409 nt
Filed under: uncultured Intrasporangiaceae bacterium
Lineage: Bacteria; Bacillati; Actinomycetota; Actinomycetes; Micrococcales; Intrasporangiaceae
Description: bacterial SSU rRNA
Rfam family: Bacterial small subunit ribosomal RNA
Source: RNAcentral